RNAcentral lists this small RNA (29 nucleotides) under Bombyx mori (domestic silkworm). Its description in RNAcentral is "ovarian small RNA-26107". The record is from RNAcentral. Lineage: Eukaryota; Metazoa; Arthropoda; Insecta; Lepidoptera; Bombycidae.
UCAUCGGAGAGGGCCCGCACGCGCAGAAU